AACAUCGCGCACCUGCGGGAACCUGCGGAAGGAUCAUUAAAAAAAGAAUCGAAAGAUUCUAUUUUUAAGAGCUUUACUACUACUUUUUUGUAGGAGUAGAGCUUUUUCCACACUCUGAUAUUAAAUCGUCUUUUGACGAAAAUCUAUAAAUAAUAAUAAACAAAACUUUUAACAAUGGAUCU
This 182-nucleotide unclassified non-coding RNA is filed under the name soil metagenome. Its description in RNAcentral is "partial contains 5.8S ribosomal RNA, internal transcribed spacer 2, and large subunit ribosomal RNA". The record is from RNAcentral.